AAGUAGUAUGAACUGAAAAAGACGUUGGUGCAAUUUCUACAUUUGAAUAUCGAAUAUAUUGUUUAGUUAACUCUCAUUACUGUUUAAGGUUGAAGAAGAAGAGCGAAGACUUGAAGUAGCAAUUGAACAAACUGAGAAAUAGUGUACAGAGGUAAAUUCUGAGCUGAAAGAACUACAAUUGAAAUCCAAGCGCUUUACAGAAUUGGAGGAACGAUAUUGGCAUGAGUUCAACAAUUUUCAGUUUCAGUUAACUUCACAUCAGGAGGACAGAGAUUCCAUUUUGGCUAAGAUUGAAAUCUCACUAGCAAAUUUGGAAUUGUUAAAGC
Telopea speciosissima is the source of this 326-nucleotide long non-coding RNA. RefSeq lists it as uncharacterized. Lineage: Eukaryota; Viridiplantae; Streptophyta; Magnoliopsida; Proteales; Proteaceae. The transcript is spliced from 3 exons. The record is from RefSeq and is a predicted model, not a curated record.